AGUCGGACCUGCCCGGUGACUAUAUUGUUAAACGGCCGCGGUACCCUAACCGUGCAAAGGUAGCAUAAUCAUUUGCCUUUUAAUUGGAGGCUGGUAUGAAWGGUUUGACGAGAGCUAAGCUGUCUCUUUUGAAAUAUAUAUAAAUUAACUUUUAGGUGAAGAGGCCUAAAUUUGUGUAAGGGACAAGAAGACCCUGUUGAGCUUUAGUGAAGUUAUAAAUAUUUAACGUUGAUGAGAUGUUAGUAUAUACUAGUAUAAUUAUAAUUUGUAAUUAAUCUUUAGUUGGGGCGACUGAGGAACAUAAAAAGCUUCCUUACAGUAGAUCAAUUGAUUUUAAAAUAUAUCAUUUUGAUGCUGACAUGUUACUUUGAUCCAAAAUUGUUUUGAUUAAAGGAAAAAGUUACCACAGGGAUAACAGCGUAAUCUUUCUGGAGAGAUCUUAUCGAAAGAAGGGUUUGCGACCUCGAUGUUGGACUAAGAUAUCCUAAGGGUGUAGAAGUUCUUAAAGGUUGGUCUGUUCGACCAUUAAAAUCUUACGUGAU
This 542-nucleotide ribosomal RNA is filed under the name Micrelenchus sanguineus. RNAcentral's name for it is "partial 16S ribosomal RNA". It matches the Rfam family "Bacterial large subunit ribosomal RNA", at positions 1851 to 2604 of the family's 2925-position model. The record is from RNAcentral. Lineage: Eukaryota; Metazoa; Mollusca; Gastropoda; Trochida; Trochidae.